GGUGAGUAAUGUAUCGGAACGUACCCGGAAAUGGGGGAUAACGUAGCGAAAGUUACGCUAAUACCGCAUAUGCCCUGAGGGGGAAAGUGGGGGAUCCGCAAGGACCUCACGUUUUCGGAGCGGCCGAUAUCAGAUUAGCUAGUAGGUGAGGUAAAGGCUCACCUAGGCGACGAUCUGUAGCGGGUCUGAGAGGACGACCCGCCACACUGGAACUGAGACACGGUCCAGACUCCUACGGGAGGCAGCAGUGGGGAAUUUUGGACAAUGGGGGCAACCCUGAUCCAGCCAUGCCGCGUGAGUGAAGAAGGCCUUCGGGUUGUAAAGCUCUUUCAGCCGGAAAGAAAACGCACGGGUUAAUAACCCGUGUGGAUGACGGUACCGGAAGAAGAAGCACCGGCUAACUACGUGCCAGCAGCCGCGGUAAUACGUAGGGUGCGAGCGUUAAUCGGAAUUACUGGGCGUAAAGCGUGCGCAGGCGGUUUUGUAAGACAGAUGUGAAAUCCCCGGGCUCAACCUGGGAACUGCAUUUGUGACUGCAAGGCUAGAGUACGGCAGAGGGGGGUAGAAUUCCACGUGUAGCAGUGAAAUGCGUAGAUAUGCGGAGGAACACCGAUGGCGAAGGCAAUCCCCUGGACCUGUACUGACGCUCAUGCACGAAAGCGUGGGGAGCAAACAGGAUUAGAUACCCUGGUAGUCCACGCCCUAAACGAUGUCAACUGGUUGUUGGGUCUUCACUGACUCAGUAACGAAGCUAACGCGUGAAGUUGACCGCCUGGGGAGUACGGCCGCAAGGUUGAAACUCAAAGGGAAUUGACGGG
This 818-nucleotide ribosomal RNA is filed under the name uncultured bacterium. Its description in RNAcentral is "bacterial SSU rRNA". It matches the Rfam family "Bacterial small subunit ribosomal RNA", at positions 105 to 917 of the family's 1533-position model. The record is from RNAcentral.